ACAAUAGACGUACCCCGGUAGUCCACGCCCGUAAACGAUGCGAACUGGAUGUUGGGUACAUUACGGUACUCAGUGUCGAAGCUAACGCGUUAAGUUCGCCGCCUGGGGAGUACGGUCGCAAGACUGAAACUCAAAGGAAUUGACGGGGGCCCGCACAAGCGGUGGAGUAUGUGGUUUAAUUCGAUGCAACGCGAAGAACCUUACCUGGCCUUGACAUCUGUCGAAUCCUGCAGAGAUGCGGGAGUGCCGCAAGGAACGACAAGACAGGUGCUGCAUGGCUGUCGUCAGCUCGUGUCGUGAGAUGUUGGGUUAAGUCCCGCAACGAGCGCAACCCUUGUCCCUAGUUGCCAGCACGUAAUGGUGGGAACUCUAGGGAGACUGCCGGUGACAAACCGGAGGAAGGUGGGGAUGACGUCAAGUCCUCAUGGCCCUUACGGCCAGGGGCUACACACGUACUACAAUGGUCGGUACAGAGGGUUGCGAAGCCGCGAGGUGGAGCCAAUCCCAGAUAACCGAUCCCAGUCCGGAUCGGAGU
Molecule: ribosomal RNA, 535 nt
Filed under: uncultured bacterium
Lineage: Bacteria
Description: bacterial SSU rRNA
Rfam family: Bacterial small subunit ribosomal RNA
Source: RNAcentral